Athene cunicularia (burrowing owl) is the source of this 256-nucleotide long non-coding RNA. RefSeq lists it as uncharacterized. NCBI's taxonomy places the organism in Eukaryota, Metazoa, Chordata, Aves, Strigiformes, Strigidae. The record is from RefSeq and is a predicted model, not a curated record. The transcript has 3 exons.
UUGGAAUCUUCCAUGAGUUUGUUAUCCACAAUCAAAAGUUAAACACACAUGUCUUAAGAUCAACGGCUGGAAUCACUGAUCGUUUGCUAUGAAGUCAACUUGUGUCAUGACAACCAUGUUCUCUAAAGUCAAAGAAGUGAGAAGAGAUCUAAACCAUCUAUUAUCUAAGAACGCCUUGCAACCUAUGCGGUCAAUAGACUGUCAUUGUUCACAAAUUACUCAGUGUGGGAGCACACCUACUCCACAGACAAUUUCU